RNAcentral lists this ribosomal RNA (769 nucleotides) under uncultured Pseudoalteromonadaceae bacterium. RNAcentral's name for it is "bacterial SSU rRNA". It matches the Rfam family "Bacterial small subunit ribosomal RNA", at positions 28 to 776 of the family's 1533-position model. The record is from RNAcentral. Lineage: Bacteria; Pseudomonadati; Pseudomonadota; Gammaproteobacteria; Alteromonadales; Pseudoalteromonadaceae.
AUUGAACGCUGGCGGCAGGCCUAACACAUGCAAGUCGAGCGGAAACGAGUUAUCUGAACCUUCGGGGAACGAUAACGGCGUCGAGCGGCGGACGGGUGAGUAAUGCCUAGGAAAUUGCCCUGAUGUGGGGGAUAACCAUUGGAAACGAUGGCUAAUACCGCAUGAUGCCUACGGGCCAAAGAGGGGGACCUUCGGGCCUCUCGCGUCAGGAUAUGCCUAGGUGGGAUUAGCUAGUUGGUGAGGUAAGGGCUCACCAAGGCGACGAUCCCUAGCUGGUCUGAGAGGAUGAUCAGCCACACUGGAACUGAGACACGGUCCAGACUCCUACGGGAGGCAGCAGUGGGGAAUAUUGCACAAUGGGCGCAAGCCUGAUGCAGCCAUGCCGCGUGUAUGAAGAAGGCCUUCGGGUUGUAAAGUACUUUCAGUCGUGAGGAAGGUAGUGUAGUUAAUAGCUGCAUUAUUUGACGUUAGCGACAGAAGAAGCACCGGCUAACUCCGUGCCAGCAGCCGCGGUAAUACGGAGGGUGCGAGCGUUAAUCGGAAUUACUGGGCGUAAAGCGCAUGCAGGUGGUUUGUUAAGUCAGAUGUGAAAGCCCGGGGCUCAACCUCGGAAUAGCAUUUGAAACUGGCAGACUAGAGUACUGUAGAGGGGGGUAGAAUUUCAGGUGUAGCGGUGAAAUGCGUAGAGAUCUGAAGGAAUACCGGUGGCGAAGGCGGCCCCCUGGACAGAUACUGACACUCAGAUGCGAAAGCGUGGGGAGCAAACAGG